AUUUAGAUAGAUUAAAAAAAUCGUAUCACUGAAGAUGAUAAAAUAGCUCUGCUUCUAAAUA
This 61-nucleotide transfer RNA is filed under the name Lumbriculus variegatus. RNAcentral describes it as "tRNA-Phe". Lineage: Eukaryota; Metazoa; Annelida; Clitellata; Lumbriculida; Lumbriculidae. The record is from RNAcentral.